GCGGGCGUGGUCUAGUGGUAAGAUGCGACCUUCCCAAGGUCGAGAUCGGGGGUUCGAAUCCCCUCGCCCGCUCUA
RNAcentral lists this transfer RNA (75 nucleotides) under Candidatus Berkelbacteria bacterium. Its description in RNAcentral is "tRNA-Gly". It matches the Rfam family "tRNA". Rfam says of the family: Transfer RNA (tRNA) molecules are approximately 80 nucleotides in length. Their secondary structure includes four short double-helical elements and three loops (D, anti-codon, and T loops). Further hydrogen bonds mediate the characteristic L-shaped molecular structure. tRNAs have two regions of fundamental functional importance: the anti-codon, which is responsible for specific mRNA codon recognition, and the 3' end, to which the tRNAs corresponding amino acid is attached (by aminoacyl-tRNA synthetases). tRNAs cope with the degeneracy of the genetic code in two manners: having more than one tRNA (with a specific anti-codon) for a particular amino acid; and 'wobble' base-pairing, i.e. permitting non-standard base-pairing at the 3rd anti-codon position. The record is from RNAcentral. Lineage: Bacteria; Candidatus Berkelbacteria.